RNAcentral lists this ribosomal RNA (253 nucleotides) under uncultured bacterium. RNAcentral's name for it is "partial 16S ribosomal RNA". It matches the Rfam family "Bacterial small subunit ribosomal RNA", at positions 524 to 776 of the family's 1533-position model. The record is from RNAcentral.
UACGUAGGGGGCAAGCGUUGUCCGGAUUUACUGGGCGUAAAGCGCGCGUAGGCGGAAGGGUAAGUCUGGCCUGAAAGCCCCCGGCUCAACCGGGGAGGGUGGCUGGAAACUGCUGUUCUUGAGGACGAUAGAGGAGUGUGGAAUUCCUGGUGUAGCGGUGAAAUGCGUAGAGAUCGGGAGGAACACCAGAGGCGAAGGCGGCGACCUGGACAGGCACUGACACUCAACUACGAAAGCGUGGGGAGCAAACAGG